This 451-nucleotide ribosomal RNA is filed under the name uncultured bacterium. RNAcentral's name for it is "bacterial SSU rRNA". It matches the Rfam family "Bacterial small subunit ribosomal RNA", at positions 354 to 796 of the family's 1533-position model. The record is from RNAcentral.
GUGGGGAAUUGUUCGCAAUGGGCGCAAGCCUGACGACGCAAUGCCGCGUGGAGGAUGAAGGUCUUCGGAUUGUAAACUCCUGUUGACCGGGACGAACUCCUCCGGGGUGAACACCCCUGGAGGCUGACGGUACCGGUUGAGGAAGCCCCGGCUAACUCUGUGCCAGCAGCCGCGGUAAUACAGAGGGGGCGAGCGUUGUUCGGAAUUACUGGGCGUAAAGGGCGCGUAGGCGGCCGACUAAGUCCGACGUGAAAUCCCCCGGCUCAACUGGGGAACUGCGUCGGAUACUGGCUGGCUUGAAUCCGGGAGAGGGAUGUGGAAUUCCAGGUGUAGCGGUGAAAUGCGUAGAUAUCUGGAGGAACACCGGUGGCGAAGGCGGCAUCCUGGACCGGCAUUGACGCUGAGGCGCGAAAGCCAGGGGAGCAAACGGGAUUAGAUACCCUUGUAGUCC